Molecule: non-coding RNA, 27 nt
Filed under: Homo sapiens (human)
Lineage: Eukaryota; Metazoa; Chordata; Mammalia; Primates; Hominidae
Source: RNAcentral
UGGUCUGGAUCACCUCGCUCUCCCUGC